This 500-nucleotide ribosomal RNA is filed under the name uncultured bacterium. RNAcentral describes it as "bacterial SSU rRNA". It matches the Rfam family "Bacterial small subunit ribosomal RNA", at positions 791 to 1296 of the family's 1533-position model. The record is from RNAcentral.
UAGUCCACGCCCUAAACGAUGCUAACUCGAUAUUUGGAUCUUGAAUCUGAGUGUCUAAGCGAAAGCGAUAAGUUAGCCACCUGGGGAGUACGUUCGCAAGAAUGAAACUCAAAGGAAUUGACGGGGGUCCCCACAAGCGGUGGAGCAUGUGGUUUAAUUCGAUGAUACGCGAGGAACCUUACCAGGGCUUAAAUGUAAGUUGCAUGAUCCAGAGAUGGGUCUUUCUUCGGACCACUUACAAGGUGCUGCAUGGUUGUCGUCAGCUCGUGCCGUGAGGUGUCAGGUUAAGUCCUAUAACGAGCGCAACCCCUGUUGUUAGUUGCCAGCAUGUAAAGAUGGGAACUCUAACAAGACUGCCGGUGCAAACCGCGAGGAAGGUGGGGAUGACGUCAAAUCAUCACGGCCCUUACGUCCUGGGCUACACACGUGCUACAAUGGUAGGGACAGAGAGCAGCCACACCGCGAGGUGGAGCGAAUCUAUAAACCCUAUCUCAGUUCGG